GAGAUAACUCCUACGGGAGGCAGCAGUAGGGAAUUUUGGACAAUGGGGGCAACCCUGAUCCAGCAAUGCCGCGUGAGUGAAGAGGGCCCUCGGGGUGUAAAGCUCUUUUGUCGGGGAAGAAACGGUAGUAGCUAAUAUCUAUUACUAAUGACGGUACCUGAAGAAUAAGCACCGGCUAACUACGUGCCAGCAGCCGCGGUAAUACGUAGGGUGCAAGCGUUAAUCGGAAUUACUGGGCGUAAAGCGUGCGCAGGCGGUUGUGUAAGUCAGAUGUGAAAUCCCCGGGCUCAACCUGGGAAUUGCAUUUGAGACUGCACGGCUAGAGUGUGUCAGAGGGGGGUAGAAUUCCACGUGUAGCAGUGAAAUGCGUAGAUAUGUGGAGGAAUACCGAUGGCGAACGCAGCCCCCUGGGAUAACCCUGACGUUCAUGCACGAAAGCGUGGGGAGCAAACAGGAUUAGAAACCCCAGUAGUCCUCCACU
RNAcentral lists this ribosomal RNA (481 nucleotides) under uncultured bacterium. Its description in RNAcentral is "bacterial SSU rRNA". It matches the Rfam family "Bacterial small subunit ribosomal RNA", at positions 329 to 803 of the family's 1533-position model. The record is from RNAcentral.